Molecule: unclassified non-coding RNA, 430 nt
Filed under: Hevea brasiliensis (rubber tree)
Lineage: Eukaryota; Viridiplantae; Streptophyta; Magnoliopsida; Malpighiales; Euphorbiaceae
Source: RNAcentral
CUCCAUGUCAGCAUUUUUUUAGACAUCGUUAAACAUUUUAUCAUUGAAAUGCUAGUGAUCCAAUAUUAUAAGUUCUGACUUGUAACACAAAAAAUUCUUCAAGCCCUCAAUAACAAAAGCUCUAAACCACAAUAUAGCUAAAUGUACUUUACCCUUAAAGGUUUUAGGAAUUUUAUUUUAAUUUCAAAGAGCACAUAGUAGUAGAAAAUAUUAUUUUCGGCUAGUUGCCACAUAAAUUCCAUCAAUUUAAAUUUUGAUAAUUUGAUCAAAUUACUAAUUUACCUUUAAAUUUGCUAAAAUUAGAAGUAUAGAACAUAAUUAUAAAAACGCAAAAAAAAAUAUAUAUUUUUACCAUUAUGCCUAAGUAAAUUAGAAAGUUUGCAAAUUUAUAAAUGCAGAAUCUCAUUCAUUGUGCUUCUUGGUUUCAAGG